Molecule: transfer RNA, 86 nt
Filed under: Capsella rubella
Lineage: Eukaryota; Viridiplantae; Streptophyta; Magnoliopsida; Brassicales; Brassicaceae
Rfam family: tRNA
About the family: Transfer RNA (tRNA) molecules are approximately 80 nucleotides in length. Their secondary structure includes four short double-helical elements and three loops (D, anti-codon, and T loops). Further hydrogen bonds mediate the characteristic L-shaped molecular structure. tRNAs have two regions of fundamental functional importance: the anti-codon, which is responsible for specific mRNA codon recognition, and the 3' end, to which the tRNAs corresponding amino acid is attached (by aminoacyl-tRNA synthetases). tRNAs cope with the degeneracy of the genetic code in two manners: having more than one tRNA (with a specific anti-codon) for a particular amino acid; and 'wobble' base-pairing, i.e. permitting non-standard base-pairing at the 3rd anti-codon position.
Source: Rfam by way of RNAcentral
CCGACCUUAGCUCAGUUGGUAGAGCGGAAGACUGUAGUCUGUGACAGGAAAUCUUUAGGUCGCUGGUUCGAUUCCGGCAGGUCGGA